Molecule: long non-coding RNA, 4303 nt
Organism: Vespula vulgaris
Lineage: Eukaryota; Metazoa; Arthropoda; Insecta; Hymenoptera; Vespidae
Exons: 3
Source: RefSeq, a predicted model, not a curated record
CAACGUUUCAGCAAUAAUUCUAAUUCUGAAGAUCCAGAAAGAAAUAUAACGAACGAAAGUGGAAGAAGCAGAAGACGGAAAAACGUAGCGGUGGCUUUCAUUCAAAUAAGAUGCCGAGGUUGCGAGAGAAGAAGAACUAAAAAAGGAGGAAGGAGAAGAAAAGGAAGUGGAAGAACCAAUACAGCAGCGGUACGUCGGUGAGGAAACGAGAAAAGAAGAAAAAAGGCGUUGGUCCGUUCGAGUGUUUUUCUAUUCAGAGAAGGGUUCGUAUAAAGUUCUAUAUACGCGACUUCUAUCCCGUUCUAUUCCAUGGAUGCUGAGAUCUUCAAGAGAAGUAGAGAUCGAGUAGAGGAAGGGACUUGGAAGGAGGGAACGGAGAAGCCUGUUCCCCAUUCCGGAGAACCGUUCAUUGAAACGAAUGGCCUUGUCUACCCCUUUCUUCUCAUCCUUCUGUAUCUCAUAUCUCUGUUCUUCCUUCUUUUUCUCUUUCACUCUUUCCGAACGCGAUCCCAAAUGCUCUCAUCCUCUUCGCAAGGGUUAUCUACGUCUUCAUCUUUCUCUUUCCUACACCUCCUUCUCCUUCUUCUUUCUCUUCUUCCUCUUCUACUUCUACUUGUUUCUCUUCGUUUUCCUCUUCUCCUUUAUUCAUUCUUGUCAUCCAGAAAUCCAUCAAGAUUACUUAUUCUCCGCCAAAAGGAAACUCAAAGCUCAACCUAAAGCAUUAUUUAAAUAAACACGGAGUUACUGCUGCGUGAAAAAGCAAACGAGAAAGGAGAGGUUGGAAAAAAGGAUGGAGGCGUGCGCAAUCCAGGGUUAUAUUAAUGGCUCCUUAUUUGAGCGAAGAAAAAAAGGAGUACCCACCUUCCUACGAUCUUAGAAAGAUGAGAUUUCCCACUUGUUAAGACAAGCCGCGUCUUCGAUAAUAGAUUAUUAUUUUAGUACAGUGUUUAAACCUGAGAGUGAAUAUAACACGGGACGAGAAAGAAGAGUAGGAAACUUGAAGAUAAAUAUGUGUGUAUGAUAAUAUUGCGAACCAUUAGACUUUUACUUAUACUUUUUGUGAUUGCCAUUACCUUCCGUAACGAUUAAUCUUUCAUCACGCUAGACCAGUUGUCAAAGUAAAUUUUCAUUUCAACAGUGCAAUGUGAGAACAAUGAUUACCCGACAACUUAUGUGUCAGUUUGCAGUAAUAAAUAAAUAAACUUCAGUCUGUUGUUGGCCAGAGAAACGUAGUAGAUCUCUUUGCUGGACGAACUUUGUAGCUUGAGAAAGAUAAAGAUGUACAGAAAUACAGAGAGAGAGAGAGAGAGAAAGAGAUGAACAAACAGGAGCAGGAGAUGAAAGAGGGGAGCGUAUAACUCUAUGUUUCAUGUUGUUCUCGUUCGCGUGCCGGUCUAUUUUAACCAUCACGCAGCAUUCCAAAAAGACAGUGCUGUGGACAUGCGCUUGCUUUUAUGGAUAGCUAUUAACCGUUGGCGUAAGUACAAACUUGACUUGAAAUUUGGACUAGACCAAUCUGAGAAGAAAAAAGAAACUGAAAGAUAUCAUUUAAUUGUCUCUCGAGCAAAUAUUAAAAAUCGCUAUAAAGUUGUACGCUAAUCGUUCAAUUUUGCAAACUUUUUACAUUCGAAUAUCAAUGAGGGGUAACAUCGAAGCGUGCAAACGAUCCUACAAAAAGUAAAUAAUGAAGGGAAAAAUUAAAUGCGCGUUAAAAAUAAUAGUUUCGAUAACGAAAGUUGCUUCCUUACGAUGCGUUACGAAUUACGCAUUACAACUGCAUGUCGGCAAGUAAACCUUCAAGAAGAUUGAUCGAUGAAAAAAUUUAAUCCAUUUUUCUUGGAAUAUUUAAUCAAUCAAAUUCUGUUUUUGGAUUUUCCUUGAACUGAUUGGCAUGAAAUAAAUUGUUUAAUGGAAAUGAGUUUACGGACCAUAAUGUUGAAAUAGAUUAUCUUAAACAUAGUCAAAAAAUACUUUAAAGAUAAUUAACAAAAACUAGAUACACGUAAAGUUAGUCGACAAAGUAAGGAUAAAAAGGCGAUCGGAAAAAAGAAGACGGCCUAUUUAUAUACGUUCUAUUUAUAUUCUAGAAAAUAGCAAAAAAGGACACUGACAUUAUAGUCGUAGAUUCUGCUGGAGGGCCGAUUCGAGUAGAAAGAAGAAGAAGGUAGAGAGGAGGAGAAGAAAAAGGAGGGAGGUAGCGGAGAAAGAAGAGGAGCGGAGAGGAGUUGAUUUGGUAGGCACAUAUAGAUUGCUACAUAGGAACGUAGGAGGGAUGACAGAACCUGAAGCCUACCUGGCCACGAGCCAAGCCCGUUCUUCUACGAGUUGCGAUAGUGCAUACUCGAUGCAUAGUGGGUAUCUAGCCACCACUCUGUCCCCACCACUCGGUCGCAUGGGUGCCCGCAUUGCAGCUAUGGCCCACCAUUCUAAUGAUGGCAACCACGCAGCUGUGAGAAUUUUCAUUGGCAAAAUGUUCGGAAAUAUCGAGCAACGUAUCAUGAGCAUUUUAGAAUAUUUUAAAUUCACUGGAAUGGCUUUUAUUUCUAACCAAGCAAAAGCCGAUUACGCAAGGCGAUAUUGAUAUUGAGAAAGGGGGAAAUGAAGAGAACGAAGGGGAAAGCGAAGACGAGCGAGCUCGUGCAUAGACGCAUUAGUUAACCUUCGUUAACUUCGAAUUGUCCUCCCUGUUGAAUUUAAUGUAUCGGUGACGUCAAAGCAACGUAUUAAUACGAUGUAAAGCACAAAACAAGAAGAGAUGAACCGGUGAUACCUCGACGAAUAAUUCAUCCGUAGGAAGCUGUAUGUAUACGAAGAAACGAUGUUAUUCAUGAAAAUCUAAGAUGGCAGCUCGUAAAGUCUCCAAUCAACCUUUCAUUCGUAUCAUUCUUGCAAGGUAUUGGUAUGAGUGACAGUUACGAGGUCGAAAUAUUCGAUAACUUCAUUACGAAACAACAUAACUCGACACGUCAUAUAAAUGCUAGUACUUUUAACCAGAGCAAAAGAGAUAGUAUUGUCAAUGCCAGAAAAUAUCGGUCACUUAUUCAAACAUAGAUCGCUUAUAAUUAGACGCAUGGAUAUAUAGUGAAGGUACACGUAAGAGGCAAGGAAGUAUCAAGAUGCGCGAGUAUUCGAGGAGGAAUAUCACGAGGAAAUCAUGCCAAACGCACUUGUGCAAUGAGAUUCAAUGUUUGCUUCUAUCUAUAACGAUAGCCUGCUUUGAAAUCGAUACCUGAAUUAAUUAGUAAAUCACUAUCAAUUAUUAAUCAAUGCUGAAUAUGCAUACAUACAUAUAUACAUCACAUACACACACACACACAUGUAUAUAUAUAUAUAAACUUAAUGUUAAAUUACUAUAUUGCAGAAAAGUCAAUAUUUUGUUUCUUUUCGUAAAUUAUAUAACGACAAAUCGAACUAUACGGACGAUUUUCGAAAAAUUAGUGCAAAUUCUUAUGAAACUAGGUUUUGUUCAAAAAAAUAUCUUUUAGUGUCAACUAAUCGUAAAUCGAAUAUCAAUUCGUAGUUUAAUUUUUCACGGGAAAAUUAUUCAAGAUGACACAUAACUUCGGGAGUCGCUUUGGCAUCAGGAUGAGAGAGCCAUACUUAUAUAUAGAAACCUGGAUCCGUUGAUUAAGAUUUGUGAUUAGUAUUUAUUUUGGUUGUGUUUGGGUCGGAUUCCGCGACGCUAAACUUGGCUUGGGGCUUUGUGCCCUGGUGCAACUCGUUCUAUUAGCCUCGAUAUCAGUCCUAUCUUUUUCUCUUUAUCUCUCUAACUCUCUAUCUUUCUUUCUUUCUCGAUGUGUCAGCGAUAGAUUCCGAGAAUACCCCGAUCAUUUUUCUCGUGAAAACUUUUCAGAGAAUUUGAUUUGAGCGGGUGAUAUUCGUUAUUGGAUGGAAUCAAUUGUUUCAAUUCGACAAUUUCUCAAUGUCAUAGACACGGGAAGGAAUCAUCGGAAAGCGUCGAAGCCCGUUUCAUCGUAGGUCACUCAUUGUUUUCUUAACUACGCCCAUUUAAAAAUAGUCAAAUCGGGAGAUUGGGAGGUUUCUCGUUUCGAAGAUAUCCGAAAAUGAGAAAUUCGAGAGUUUCCUUGAUUCUCAAGAAUUUCGAUUUUACUUCGACGACGGAUAUUGAUGAGAAAGAAGUAGAUAAAGGAGAUGGGAGUAAAAGAAGAGUGAUAAAGGAAGGAAGAAGAAAGUCGUCCUUGUGUCGAUGGUACGCCGUUAGAAAACAAGUUCUUCGAAUCUGCGAUAUUACUGAUACGUCUAGCAAUUAUUGCGGUGGAAAGCGAAAUACCGGCUUCCAAUU